RNAcentral lists this small RNA (590 nucleotides) under Pongo abelii (Sumatran orangutan). Its description in RNAcentral is "processed transcript". The record is from RNAcentral. Lineage: Eukaryota; Metazoa; Chordata; Mammalia; Primates; Hominidae.
AGCAUGAGACUGGGUUCUGUAUGUAAGGGGGAGUGGCUGUUCUGGGGAUUGCCCUUAUUGCUAUGGGGGAGGAGAUUGGUGCAGAGAUGGCAUUACGAACCUUUGGCCACUUGCUGAGAUAUGGGGAGCCUACACUCCGGAGGGCUGUACCUUUAGCACUGGCCCUCAUCUCUGUUUCCAAUCCACGACUCAACAUCCUGGAUACCCUAAGCAAAUUCUCUCAUGAUGCUGAUCCGGAAGUUUCCUAUAACUCCAUUUUUGCCAUGGGCAUGGUGGGCAGUGGUACCAAUAAUGCCCGUCUGGCUGCAAUGCUGCGCCAGUUAGCUCAAUAUCAUGCCAAGGACCCAAACAACCUCUUCAUGGUGCGCUUGGCACAGGGCCUGACACAUUUAGGGAAGGGUACCCUUACCCUCUGCCCCUACCACAGUGACCGGCAGCUUAUGAGUCAAGUGGCCGUGGCUGGACUGCUCACUGUGCUUGUCUCUUUCCUGGAUGUUCGAAACAUUAUUCUAGGCAAAUCACACUAUGUAUUGUAUGGGCUGGUGGCUGCCAUGCAGCCCCGAAUGCUGGUUACGUUUGAUGAGGAGCUG